GUUAUUUUCUUAAAAUCUAAAAGGUUUGGCGGCAUUUAAUCUUUUCAGAGGAGCCCGUUUCAUAAACGUAAUGACGCGUUUUAUCUUACCCGAUUUAACUCAUAUAUCGUCAUUUAAAUAAGCUUAACACAGAGAUAUUAAAAAAGAACACAAGCAUGUUAGAUUUGGUGUGGUAUUUUUGGGGGUAGAUAGGCUACAACCUAAAAAGGUGUUAAUUUUUUUAUGUAAAGAACUAGGACAGAGGAUUUGAUAGUAAUUCUAUUUAAUAUAAUG
RNAcentral lists this ribosomal RNA (273 nucleotides) under Ligidium ryukyuense. RNAcentral's name for it is "partial 12S ribosomal RNA". The record is from RNAcentral. Lineage: Eukaryota; Metazoa; Arthropoda; Malacostraca; Isopoda; Ligiidae.